RNAcentral lists this ribosomal RNA (492 nucleotides) under uncultured bacterium. Its description in RNAcentral is "partial 16S ribosomal RNA". It matches the Rfam family "Bacterial small subunit ribosomal RNA", at positions 29 to 507 of the family's 1533-position model. The record is from RNAcentral.
AGUGAACGCUGGCGGUAGGCCUAACACAUGCAAGUCGAACGGCAGCACAGUAAGAGCUUGCUCUUACGGGUGGCGAGUGGCGGACGGGUGAGGAAUACAUCGGAAUCUACUUUUUCGUGGGGGAUAACGUAGGGAAACUUACGCUAAUACCGCAUACGACCUACGGGUGAAAGCAGGGGAUCUUCGGACCUUGCGCGAUUGAAUGAGCCGAUGUCGGAUUAGCUAGUUGGCGGGGUAAAGGCCCACCAAGGCGACGAUCCGUAGCUGGUCUGAGAGGAUGGUCAGCCACACUGGAACUGAGACACGGUCCAGACUCCUACGGGAGGCAGCAGUGGGGAAUAUUGGACAAUGGGCGCAAGCCUGAUCCAGCCAUACCGCGUGGGUGAAGAAGGCCUUCGGGUUGUAAAGCCCUUUUGUUGGGAAAGAAAAGCAGCAGGUUAAUACCCCGCUGUUCUGACGGUACCCAAAGAAUAAGCACCGGCUAACCUCGUG